RNAcentral lists this ribosomal RNA (497 nucleotides) under uncultured bacterium. Its description in RNAcentral is "partial 16S ribosomal RNA". It matches the Rfam family "Bacterial small subunit ribosomal RNA", at positions 28 to 507 of the family's 1533-position model. The record is from RNAcentral.
GAUGAACGCUGGCGGCGUGCCUAAUACAUGCAAGUCGAGCGAACGGACGAGAAGCUUGCUUCUCUGAUGUUAGCGGCGGACGGGUGAGUAACACGUGGAUAACCUACCUAUAAGACUGGGAUCACUUCGGGAAACCGGAGCUAAUACCGGAUAAUAUUUUGAACCGCAUGGUUCAAAAGUGAAAGACGGUCUUGCUGUCACUUAUAGAUGGAUCCGCGCUGCAUUAGCUAGUUGGUGAGGUAACGGCUUACCAAGGCAACGAUGCAUAGCCGACCUGAGAGGGUGAUCGGCCACACUGGAACUGAGACACGGUCCAGACUCCUACGGGAGGCAGCAGUAGGGAAUCGUCCGCAAUGGUCGAAAGCCUGACGGAGCAACGCCGCGUGAGUGAUGAAGGUCUUCGGAGCGUAAAACUCUGUUAUUAGGGAAGAACAGAUGUGUAAGUAACUGUGCACAUCUUGACGGUACCUAAUCAGAAAGCCACGGCUAACUACGUG